UUGAUUUUCCGUCAAUUGCUCAGAGAUAUAUAGAAACAGAGUUAUAAUGGAGUUGGCUUCUGCCGGCGGGCCUGCCGUAGCUUCGACAACAAGGCCCCCGUCCCAGGGGGCGCCCACCGAGCCAACCAUGCUUUAUAGCGUAUCGUUUUCAAGGGGGUCUUCGAGCGUUUUAAGACUCGUCGAUAAUGAUCCCUCCGCUGGUUCACCAACGGAGA
This 215-nucleotide unclassified non-coding RNA is filed under the name uncultured fungus. RNAcentral describes it as "sequence contains ITS1". Lineage: Eukaryota; Fungi. The record is from RNAcentral.